RNAcentral lists this unclassified non-coding RNA (20 nucleotides) under Chlamydomonas reinhardtii. Its description in RNAcentral is "small RNA Cre_3835". The record is from RNAcentral. Lineage: Eukaryota; Viridiplantae; Chlorophyta; Chlorophyceae; Chlamydomonadales; Chlamydomonadaceae.
UUCGGUUUGGGUGCAUCGCC